Episyrphus balteatus (marmalade hoverfly) is the source of this 3126-nucleotide long non-coding RNA. RefSeq lists it as uncharacterized. NCBI's taxonomy places the organism in Eukaryota, Metazoa, Arthropoda, Insecta, Diptera, Syrphidae. The record is from RefSeq and is a predicted model, not a curated record. The transcript is spliced from 3 exons.
CCAAAAAAUCUCCAAAAAUUGACUUUUUUCAAAAUUUCAAAUUUCUGUCGUUUGUCCACCUCGAGUUCUAUACGUAUGCCAAAAAUCGUCGUUUGUCCACCCUACGUUUAAAAGAUAUUCAAAAAACAAAUUUUGUACUGAAAAUUUCAAAGUCCCAUAAAAUCUCCAAAAUUUGACUUUUUUCAAAAUUUCAAAUUUCUGUCGUUUGUCCACCUCGAGUUCUAUACGUAUGCCAAAAAUCGUCGUUUGUCCACCCUACGUUUAAAAGAUAUUCAAAAAACAAAAUUUGUACUGAAAAUUUCAAAGUCCCAAAAAAUCUCCAAAAAUUGACUUUUUUCAAAAUUUCAAAUUUCUGUCGUUUGUCCACCUCGAGUUCUACACGUAUGCCAAAAAUCGUCGUUUGUCCACUCUACGUUUAGAAGAUAUUCAAAAAACAAAUUUUGUACUGAGAAAUCGAAAAAAAAAUAUUACGCAUACACCAGAGUGAAAAUUUCAAAAUCCUCAAAAAUUACUUUUUUUCAAAAAUUCAAACGGCAAUCGUUUGUCCACCUCGAGAAAUGGAUACAAACAAAAAAUCAUCGUUUGUCCACCCUACGUUUAGGAGAUAUUCAAAAAACAAAAUUUGUACUGAAAAAUUCGAAGUCCCAAAAAAUCUCCAAAAAUUGACUUUUUUCAAAAUUUCAAAUUUCUGUCGUUUGUCCACCUCGAGUUCUACACGUAUGCCGUCGUUUGUCCACCCUACGUUUAAAAGAUAUUCAAAAAACAAAAUUUGUACUGAAAAUUUCAAAGUCCCAAAAAAUCUCCAAAAAUUGACUUUUUUCAAAAUUUCAAAUUUCUGUCGUUUGUCCACCUCGAGUUCUACACGUAUGCCAAAAAUCGUCGUUUGUCCACCCUACGUUUAGAAGAUAUUCAAAAAACAAAUUUUGUACUGAGAAAUCGAAAAAAAAAUAUUACGCAUACACCAGAGUGAAAAUUUAAAAAUCCUCAAAAAUUACUUUUUUUCAAAAAUUCAAACGGCAAUCGUUUGUCCACCUCGAGAAAUGGAUACAAACAAAAAAUCAUCGUUUGUCCACCCUACGUUUAGGAGAUAUUCAAAAAACAAAAUUUGUACUGAAAAAUUCGAAGUCCCAAAAAAUCUCCAAAAAUUGACUUUUUUCAAAAUUUCAAAUUUCUGUCGUUUAUCCACCUUACUUUCAGAAAAUAUUUAAAAAAACAAAAAAUUCAAGGUCCCAUAAAAUCCACUAAAAUUUUUGUUUCAAAAAUGUUACCGCUUAUUCUUAUUCAAAUAACUAAGCACUCUCUCGGUACUAGGUUCACUUUAUCUAUUUAUAUGAAAAAAAGUAUCCAAAAAUGGUAUGAAAAGCCAAAAAUUUGUUUGACAAUUUUUAAUUUUGCAGUAAGAAAAUUUUUUUUUAUUAACUUACUUUUUUUUUGAAAAUUAAAUGAUUAGGUAUUUCAAAUGUAUCCUUUCCUUUUUUAUAAAGUGAUCCGUUGUUGAGGUAUGAAUAGUUUAAUUCAAGAGUAUGAAUAUUUGUUUGAAGACUGAAAAUGAAGUCUUUAAAAACAAAUAAUCUAAAUGAAUAGCCUUUCAAAAAAUAAUAAAUGACUUAAGAGAAAAUAAGACAGUUCUAUUUCUAUUUCACGAUUUUAAAUAAAAUCUUUACUUCUAAAAUUGUAAAACCAGAAAAAUGAAGCUUUCACAUGCUUUUUGUUUUGUCAUGAUACGAUUAUUUUUCAUUGAGAAACAGCUUAUCAAAAAUCACUAAAAAAAGAAUCACGAAUUUUGUUUGUUCCUAAAAUUUUUUGGGCUACUGUAUUUAGUUCAUAUAAAUAGUUUAAGUUAGUAUGGUAAAUUAAAGUGCUAAGUUAUUUGAAUAAGAAUUAGUGCUUAAAUUAUUGUAAAAAAAAUUUUUGGGGUUUUUGUUAUUUUUACUAAGGAAUGUAUGCGUAUUUUCUUGAGAGUUGCUAUAGAAAAAUUCUUUUUGGAAUAUCUCCUAAACGUAGGGUGGACAAACGACGAUUUUUAGUACACGUGUAGAACUGGAGGUGGACAAACGACAGAAUUUUGAAAUUUUGAAAAAAGUCAAAUUUUGGAGAUUUUAUGGGACUUUGAAAUUUUCAGUACAAAAUUUGUUUUUUGAAUAUCUUUUAAACGUAGGGUGGACAAACGACGAUUUUUGGCAUACGUAUAGAAUACAAGGUGGACAAACGACAGAAAUUUGAAAUUUUGACAAAAGUCAAUUUUUGGAGAUUUUUUGGGACUUUGAAAUUUUCAGUACAAAUUUUGUUUUUUGAAUAUCUUUUAAACUUAGGGUGGACAAACGACGAUUUUUGGCAUACGUGUAGAACUCGAGGUGGACAAACGACAGAAAUUUGAAAUUUUGAAAAAAGUCAAUUUUUGGAGAUUUUUUGGGACUUUGAAAUUUUCAGUACAAAUUUUGUUUUUUGAAUAUCUUUUAAACGUAGGGUGGACAAACGACGAUUUUUGGCGUACGUGUAGAACUCGAGGUGGACAAACGACAGAAAUUUGAAAUUUUGAAAAAAGUCAAUUUUUGGAGAUUUUUUGGGACUUUGAAAUUUUCAGUACAAAUUUUGUUUUUUGAAUAUCUUUUAAACGUAGGGUGGACAAACGACGAUUUUUGGCAUACGUAUAGAAUACAAGGUGGACAAACGACAGAAAUUUGAAAUUUUGACAAAAGUCAAUUUUUGGAGAUUUUUUGGGACUUUGAAAUUUUCAGUACAAAUUUUGUUUUUUGAAUAUCUUUUAAACUUAGGGUGGACAAACGACGAUUUUUGGCAUACGUGUAGAACUCGAGGUGGACAAACGACAGAAAUUUGAAAUUUUGAAAAAAGUCAAUUUUUGGAGAUUUUUUGGGACUUUGAAAUUUUCAGUACAAAUUUUGUUUUUUGAAUAUCUUUUAAACGUAGGGUGGACAAACGACGAUUUUUGGCGUACGUGUAGAACUCGAGGUGGACAAACGACAGAAAUUUGAAAUUUUGAAAAAAGUCAAAUUUUGGAGAUUUUAUGGGACUUUGAAAUUUUCAGUACAAAAUUUGUUUUUUGAAUAUCUUUUAAACGUAGGGUGGACAAACAAAAAAAAAAAAAAUAAUUUUUGAGGAUUUUGA